This 468-nucleotide ribosomal RNA is filed under the name uncultured bacterium. RNAcentral describes it as "partial 16S ribosomal RNA". It matches the Rfam family "Bacterial small subunit ribosomal RNA", at positions 28 to 507 of the family's 1533-position model. The record is from RNAcentral.
GACGAACGCUGGCGGCGUGCCUAACACAUGCAAGUCGAACGGAAAGGCCCUGCUUUCGUGCGCUGCCCGAGUGGCGAACGGGUGAGUAACACGUGAGUAACCUGCCCUAGUCUUUGGGAUAACUUCAGGAAACUGGGGCUAAUCCCAGAUAGGAGCCGCCGUUGCAUGGAGGGCGUUGGAACGUCUCGGCUGUCGCGGAUGGAGUCGCGGGUUACGAGCUUGUUGGUGGGGUAGUGGCUUACCAAGGCAUUGGCGGGUAGCCGGCUUGGGAGGUUGGCCGGGCACAUUGGGACUGAGGUACGGCCCAGAGUCGUACGGGGGACAGCGGUGGGAAGUAUUGCACAGUGAGCGGAAGCCUGAUGCAAAGACGCCGCGUUCGGAAUGACGGCCUUCUGGUAAUAAACAGCAUUCGCCUGUGACGAAGCGUGUGUGACGGUAAUGGAUAAAGAAGCACCGGCUAACUACGUG